Setaria italica (foxtail millet) is the source of this 465-nucleotide long non-coding RNA. RefSeq lists it as uncharacterized. The transcript is spliced from 2 exons. Lineage: Eukaryota; Viridiplantae; Streptophyta; Magnoliopsida; Poales; Poaceae. The record is from RefSeq and is a predicted model, not a curated record.
AUGACCAGAUAUGUGGCAGUGGGGUUCACUGGGUGCAUGUUUGUGCUGUUCUGCAGAUUGAUUGAUGAAACAAAACACCACAUUUUGAAAUCAGCUCACCCAUCAGGCAUGUCUGCAAACCGGGGUUUCUUUGGAUGCAGGAGGAGGCUGCCAAGGUCAAGGCUGCUGGAAGAACUGGAGGUGCCACACGAGGUCCAUUACCUGAGAAGCCUGACACUAAAGAUGAAACUGUGCUACAGAAUUGGAGGUGGCACACGAGGUCAGUUAAGAAGGCAAAUGGUGAAAGGAAUUCUCAGAGAUGUGUGAUGUUGAACUGAAACGUGCUGUAAGAGACUAUAAGGGGUAUUGCUAUUGUUAUCAGUGCAGAUAAUACUUGUGAUUCUGUUUGGUGUUGUAUCUGAUUUGAAUGUAAACCUGAGGUUGUAUCUGUUAUAUUGGUUGAUGGGUUGAUAUAAUCUGGAAUGU